UCGGACUAUUGGCUCAUCUCAAACUGUGGUUCUAGUUUAUGUUGAUGACAUUUUGGUUGCAGGCAAUGAUCUCUCAGCCAUAACUGUUCUAAAAAAAUCCCUUGAUAAACAUUUUAAAAUCAAGGAUUUGGGUAAAAUAAAAUAUUUCCUUGGUCUUGAAGUCGCCCGAUCUUUGUCUGGAAUUUUUGUCAACCAAAGAAAGCAUACAUUGGACAUUCUUGCAGAUUCUGGCAAUUCAGGAUCCCAGCCAGCUUCUUCUCCUAUGGAGCAAAAUUUGAAACUUACUUCUGAUGAUGGUGAUUUGCUUUCUGACCCUAGCAUAUAUCGUCGGUUGGUGGGUCGCCUUCUAUAUCUCACUAUCACUCAUCCAAAUAUCUCCUUCUCCGUCAACAUGUUGAGCCAAUUCAUUCAAAGUCCUCGAGAACCUCAUUAUCGAGCUGCUCUCCAUGUUCUACGGUAUUUGAAGAGCACUCCAGCCCAUGAUCAUUUUUAUUCUACUCAGUGUGAUUUUUGGCUUACUGCAUACUCUGAUUUUGAUUGGGCGAGUUGUCCUACCACUAGUCGUUCCACCACUAGUUUUUUUAUCACACUUGGAACCAGUCCUAUCUUUUGGCGCAUGAAGAAACAAUCAAUUGUUUCUUGCUCCUCUGUCGAAGCUGAGUACCGUGCAAUGGCUACAACCACAUGUGAACUUGUCUGGCUCAAGUCUCUUUUACAUGACCUUGCUGUUUUACACCUACAACAUAUCAUGCUUUUUUGUGACAAUGAGGCUGCUCUCCACAUAUCUCGUAACCUUGUAUUUCAUGAACGAACCAAGUAUAUUGAAAUCGAUUGUCACUAUAUUCGUGAAAAAUAUCUUUCUGGACUCAUUGUUCCCACUCACGUCUGCUAAG
This 893-nucleotide long non-coding RNA is filed under the name Olea europaea subsp. europaea. Lineage: Eukaryota; Viridiplantae; Streptophyta; Magnoliopsida; Lamiales; Oleaceae. The record is from RNAcentral.